Molecule: long non-coding RNA, 764 nt
Organism: Lytechinus pictus (painted urchin)
Lineage: Eukaryota; Metazoa; Echinodermata; Echinoidea; Temnopleuroida; Toxopneustidae
Exons: 7
Source: RefSeq, a predicted model, not a curated record
AUCAGUCAGAGAGUCCUGUAGGAUCCAGAUAAUUUAGAUCUCAAUCCUGUCGAGGAGUUCGAAUGUUCAUUUGUUGAUGGAACUAGCUGGAUUGUGAUGAUUUCUGGGUUUUCUACGAAGAUUGCAGUGUUGGGUACCGGAAUCUGACCCUAGAAAGUGAUUGUUUUGGUCCUUGGUAUGGUUUUUAACCUGUAUCUGCCCUAGUCGGAGGUUUUUUUUUCCAAUUUGUUAUAUACUGAACAACUGUUGUGCUCAAGUGGGAAAUUAAAUUCCGCUCACAACCUACAACUCUCGUCGUAUCGUGUCUUGUGUUCUGGAGUGUCCUGACAACUUCCCCCAAAAAAUCCAGAAUACUACAAGUGGUGUCAGAAGUGGGAUAGAACUUGAGCAUCGAUAGACGGCAACUAAGAAGCAAGAAAAGAAGAACAUCAUUAGACGGAAACCAAGAAGCAAGAAAGAAAACCUCCGACUUUGGUUGUAUGGAGUUCGAAUGUUCAUUUGUUGAUGGAACUAGCUGGAUUGUGAUGAUUUCUGGGUUUUCUACGAAGAUUGCAGUGUUGGGUACCGGAAUCUGACCCUAGAAAGUGAUUGUUUUGGUCCUUGGUAUGGUUUUUAACCUGUAUCUGCCCUAGUCGGAGGUUUUUUUUUCCAAUUUGUUAUAUACUGAACAACUGUUGUGCUCAAGUGGGAAAUUAAAUUCCGCUCACAACCUACAACUCUCGUCGUAUCGUGUCUUGUGUUCUGGAGUGUCCUGACAACUUCCC